RNAcentral lists this long non-coding RNA (439 nucleotides) under Homo sapiens (human). Its description in RNAcentral is "non-protein coding lnc-TRHDE-3:1". The record is from RNAcentral. Lineage: Eukaryota; Metazoa; Chordata; Mammalia; Primates; Hominidae.
AGUGGAGAACGAAGUGUGAACAUUUCCCUUUGUCACCCACCUCUGUCAAACUCAAUUAACUGUCAACCUUUGCUUUAGGGAGAUUUUGAUCACCUCAUAAUCUCUAUCAGUCCUUCCACACCAUUCUUUAACAGUGACAUUUUCUUACCUUUAGGAGACAAUCCAGAUGUUACAUGUGUGACUUCCAUUCAUAGUCCUUUGACUUGAAAUAAACCAGAUAAUUGUAGCUAGCUGCGAGAGGCUUGGGAAUGUCAGAUCUAGCUGGUCUUAAAUGUGUCAUAGCCAAAAAAGAGUUUUGAAGGCUGAAGGGUUAUACCAGUUUUGAGAAACACUGGCAUUCUCAUUCUUUCAGGGGGCACUGCUUUGGGAGAACAUUCAUGCGCCCAACAGGAACCAGAUCAGAAAGUCAAGUCAGGGACAUUUGGGUAUAGGAUUAAAA